Long non-coding RNA from Neoarius graeffei (lesser salmon catfish), 3651 nucleotides. RefSeq lists it as uncharacterized. Lineage: Eukaryota; Metazoa; Chordata; Actinopteri; Siluriformes; Ariidae. The transcript is spliced from 4 exons. The record is from RefSeq and is a predicted model, not a curated record.
CCGAUAUGCCAUCUUCUCAUUUCUCUCCUGCAACUUAGUGUUACAGGAGUCAAUCUGUUCAACACGGUGCUGUUGCUAUGGUACCCGUUACACCGGCAUGGAUGCUUUACUUAUCCUGCCUCCAAUCCUCAGGAUGCCCUCAUCCAAGAUCGGAUCAAGUUUGGAUAUGGUGCUGUCUGCUUUGACUGGCAUGCCUUUCCUUAUGAGAGUGAGCUCAGAAUCAAAGUAACACUGCUGUACAUAGCAAAUAAUCGCCUUUUCUGCUUCAUCCAAAUCAUCCACAGUCAGAAUUUGGUGCUCACCUUCCAUUUUGGAUGUCGAGAUAAGCCCUUUACUUUUCUGACUUUUGAGCUUCAGCAGCCAGGCAACAGUCCUUUGAAGUUUCUUCCAUGAAGAGAAAUACUGAAUGAAGUAAGUAGUUGCAUGUUUGAAGCUUUAAGCAAUUUGCAGUAAUGUCUUUCUUUACCUCAGGAUCACUGUGGAGUAUGUGUCCAAUGUCCUCCGGUGCAUCAGGUCAUUCAGAUUCCUGCCUUGAAAGGAAGUGAGGGCCAUAGAACCAUCUAAGGGACUUCAAGAGCGGUUCGAUGUACAAUCCGCGAGAGGCAUCAUCUGCUGGAUUAUCCCUAGAACGGACAUAUCUCCACUGAUGUACCUGGGAGAGGCUAUGGAUCACUGCAAUCCUGUUGGCAAUAGGAUGCAAGCAUUCAGCAGGUGCAUUUGGCUAUGUCUGUGCAAGAGAAGAGUGAAAAAGUACUCCAUGGAAGCAACUUCUGAAAUGUGUGAAGUCUACAAUGCAUACAUAUUUUGCCAUGCCUGAUGGGAUCAAUAAAACAGUGGUCAUCUUAUCUGUGAACACUGUUAAAAAAAAAAAAAACUUCUCUGGAAGGAACCCAAAACAUUCCAAACAUCAGUGUAGCAAGAAUGCACCUGUUGUCCUAUAUCUGAACCUUCCUUCAUUCAUUUCCCUGGGACCACACUGCCAGAAGCUUCCCAAACCCAUUCUUCCAGACAGAGAGCAGCCAUCUUCAGAAGUAAGAAACAAGUCAGAGAGUGAAGAUGUCAUAGAUCCAGAUUACAAUUUCAGAUGUGGAGCUGAGGACAGAAACCCAUAGUACCCCAACCAAAAAUACCUUGAUUGCUUUUCCCAACCAAGUCCAAUGUGGACCUUUUAAAAUCUAGGUUCAAGCAGUCAAACUUUUUUGGAUGGAUGUGUCCAAGUCACAGGUCUUUUGCACAAGACAAAUCACAAGACUCCUCACCAAGCUUUUCCCAUCUUCUUUACCCAUCAAGAUGGGCUCUGCUUCUGUCACAGUGUGGCUAGUAUGUUUGAGGCAAUCAGAAUUGCUUGUAGCCUGAAUGAGUGGUGCAUCUUCACUGACAGCUCAUCCAGGAGCCUCAAAGCUGUGCUGCUCCAUAAUGGGAACAAGUAUUCAUCUCUUUCCCUGGCUCACUCAGUGUAUCUCAAAGAGGAUAACAAAUCCAUCAAGAAAUUGUCUUGAAGUAUGAUGAAUACAACUUAAAAUGGUGACAUUCCUGAUGGGUCUACAAGGAGACUUUAUCAAGUUUCCCUGCUAUUUUGUCUUUGGGACAUCAAGGUACAGUAUCAAAAGGGGGACUGUUCACUGUGGUGAUCUCGGUCUGCUGUGGGGACCUCUGGAAAGAUGCUGAUGCCACCACUGCACAUCAAAUUUAGCCUAAUUUAUCAGAGCAGGAGGAUUCACAUAAGGAGUCAGCAGCAUUCACAUACAUUCAAAACUUUUCUUAAGCUGUCUGUGGCAAAUGUCAAAGCUGGUGUCUUCAUGGGUCCACAGAUGGAGAAAAUUCUGGGGUGCAAGGAAUUCUCCAAGAAGCUCCUGAGGAAGGAGAAGGAAGCUUCAAACAGCUUUGUUGCAAUGGUUCAGGGCUUCCUGGGCAAUCACAAAGCCAAAAAGUAUGUGGAGUUUGUUGUGACUCAGGUGAAGGACUAUCACACAAUGGACUGUAGGAUGUCUCUCAAAGUCCAUAUCCUUUAUGGUCAUCUUGAUAAAUUCAAGGAGAACAUGGGAACAUACUCAGAGGAGUAAGGCAAGAGCUUCCAUCAGGAUAUAUUGAACUCGGAAUGCCACUGUCAAGGACAGCAUAAUGAGAACAUGAUGGGAGACUAUAUUUGAGGGCUGCAUUAUGAAAGUGAUUUGCAAUAUAAUCAUAAAUCUUGAAAAUCUUCUAACAUUGUCACAAUUUAUGUACUUCCAUGUAAUAUACUUCCAUGUAGUACACUUCCAUGUAGUACACUGUACUUGCAUAGUGUGUGAAUUUCAACAGGGUAGUGUUGUCUCACAUUGAACAUGGCAUGUUGUGCACUUACCAGAAAUUGCCAUUACACCCAUCAAAAAUGACAAUCACAAUAUUUGACAGCAUGACAGUGUGGUGUCAAAUAUUGUUACCAAAAUUUAUGCUGGCUUUUCGCUCACCUCUUAAAAAUUAACUUUUUUAUUUUCAUUUUCCUUGCUUGUGUAUGCCCCCCUGUUUCAUGCCACAUGGAAAUUGUCAUCACUGGUAUCGACAAUGUUUCCUCCUCCAACUGGCUGGAAACAUACUGGCAUGUUGAAUUAUGUAUUGUUUUUAUUGCGAUCUAUGGAGUUCAUAGACUAGACUAUUGAGGUGCAGCAUUACAUUUUCAUCAAACUUACCUAUUUAAACAGUCAUCUAAAAGUAGUAAUUGUCUGUGCUCGAGCUACACUGACUAACAUAAAAGCACAACUAUCUGAUACUAACUUGCUGUAGUCAUGUAGAUUGGAAAUGCAAAAGAAAACAUACAGUAUAACCCACAGCUUGCUGUUAUGUAGAAUUAAGCACACUUAAUAUCCAAAAUCACCAUUAUAAAUCACAAUUGACUGUGUUCUAAUGGUCACAAACAUACAGUGACAAUAUGGGCAAAUGGGUCAGUGGCUGGGCAAAAAGGUCAGUCGAUGAUGGAGUCAAAAUGGGACUGCAUGGCAUCCUGCAACAUCUUGACUGCCCAGGUACCUAUGCAAGAAUCCUGUUCUUAGACAUCAGCUCAGCAUUCAACACCAUAACCACACAAAUCCUUUCCACCAAACUCUGCUAGCUCAUUGUCUCAUUUGCCAUAUGUCACAGUAUCGCCAGCUUCCUGACAGGAAGGGAACAACAAAUAAGGUUGGAGAAGUCACAUCCAGUAUGCAGUCAAUCAGCACUGCUGCUCCUCAGGAAUGUGCCCACUUUCCACUGCUCUUCUUCUUUUACACCAAUGACUCCACCUCCAUGGACCCAAAUGUGAAACUCCUGAAAUUUGCAGAUGACACUACAGUCAUAGGACUCAUCCAAGAUGGCAGUGAGUCUGCAUACAGAUGGGAGGUUGAAUGGUUGGUGCUCUUGUCCAGUCAGAAUAACUUGGAGCUAAACAUGCUUAAGAUGUUGGAGAUGAUCAUGGACUUCAGAAGACACCCCACUAUAAUACUCCAUUCACUAUAUCCAACAGUCUUUGUUGGCAGCACUGACUGCCAGAUCCAUUUGAAGCCACCAAGAGAGGAUGCAGCCUUUUACCUACAGUGGUGCUUGAAAGAUUGUGAACCCUUUAGAAUUUUAUAUAUUUCUGCAUAAAUGAGCUAAAACAUUCAUCAGAUUUUCACACAAGUCCGAAAAGUACAUAAA